GAUGAAGAACGCAGCGAAAUGCGAUAAGUAAUGUGAAUUGCAGAAUUCAGUGAAUCAUCGAAUCUUUGAACGCACAUUGCGCCCGCCAGUAUUCUGGCGGGCAUGCCUGUUCGAGCGUCAUUUCAACCAUCAAGCCCCCGGCUUGUGUUGGGGACCUGCGGCUGCCGCAGGCCCUGAAAUGCAGUGGCGGGCUCGCUGUCACUCCGAGCGUAGUAGUUACAUCUCGCUCUGGGCGUGCUGUGGGUUCCGGCCGUUAAAAGCCUUAUUUACCCAAGGUUGACCUCGGAUCAGGUAGGAAGACCCGCUGAACUUAAGCAUAUCAAUAAGCGGAGGA
RNAcentral lists this unclassified non-coding RNA (334 nucleotides) under soil metagenome. RNAcentral describes it as "partial contains 5.8S ribosomal RNA, internal transcribed spacer 2, and large subunit ribosomal RNA". The stretch from base 1 to 120 matches the Rfam family "5.8S ribosomal RNA", at positions 35 to 154 of the family's 154-position model. The record is from RNAcentral.